CCUACGGGAGGCAGCAGUCGAGAAUCAUUCACAAUGGGGGAAACCCUGAUGGUGCGACGCCGCGUGGGGGAAUGAAGGUCUUCGGAUUGUAAACCCCUGUCAUGUGGGAGCAAAUUAAAAAGAUAGUACCACAAGAGGAAGAGACGGCUAACUCUGUGCCAGCAGCCGCGGUAAUACAGAGGUCUCAAGCGUUGUUCGGAAUCACUGGGCGUAAGGCGUGCGUAGGCUGUUUCGUAAGUAGUGUGUGAAAGGCGCGGGCUCAACCAGCGGACGGCACAUGAUACUGCGAGACUAGAGUAAUGGAGGGGGAACCGGAAUUCUCGGUGUAGCAGUGAAAUGCGUAGAUAUCGAGAGGAACACUCGUGGCGAAGGCGGGUUCCUGGACAUUAGCUGACGCUGAGGCACGAAGGCCAGGGGAGCGAAAGGGAUUAGAUACCCGAGUAGUC
This 446-nucleotide ribosomal RNA is filed under the name uncultured bacterium. RNAcentral describes it as "partial 16S ribosomal RNA". It matches the Rfam family "Bacterial small subunit ribosomal RNA", at positions 338 to 795 of the family's 1533-position model. The record is from RNAcentral.